This 46-nucleotide ribosomal RNA is filed under the name uncultured Cantharellaceae. Its description in RNAcentral is "partial 18S ribosomal RNA". It matches the Rfam family "Eukaryotic small subunit ribosomal RNA", at positions 1785 to 1830 of the family's 1831-position model. The record is from RNAcentral. Lineage: Eukaryota; Fungi; Basidiomycota; Agaricomycetes; Cantharellales; Hydnaceae.
AAAGUCGUAACAAGGUUUCCGUAGGUGAACCUGCGNAAGGAUCAUU